GACAGUGUGGUCUAGUAGGUAGAGCAUUAGACUGACUCAGGAGACCUGGGUUCCAUUCCCAGCUCUGCCA
This 70-nucleotide transfer RNA is filed under the name Chelonia mydas (Green sea turtle). It matches the Rfam family "tRNA". From Rfam's summary of the family: Transfer RNA (tRNA) molecules are approximately 80 nucleotides in length. Their secondary structure includes four short double-helical elements and three loops (D, anti-codon, and T loops). Further hydrogen bonds mediate the characteristic L-shaped molecular structure. tRNAs have two regions of fundamental functional importance: the anti-codon, which is responsible for specific mRNA codon recognition, and the 3' end, to which the tRNAs corresponding amino acid is attached (by aminoacyl-tRNA synthetases). tRNAs cope with the degeneracy of the genetic code in two manners: having more than one tRNA (with a specific anti-codon) for a particular amino acid; and 'wobble' base-pairing, i.e. permitting non-standard base-pairing at the 3rd anti-codon position. Lineage: Eukaryota; Metazoa; Chordata; Testudines; Cheloniidae. The record is from Rfam by way of RNAcentral.